This 800-nucleotide ribosomal RNA is filed under the name Pseudarthrobacter sulfonivorans. Its description in RNAcentral is "bacterial SSU rRNA". It matches the Rfam family "Bacterial small subunit ribosomal RNA", at positions 690 to 1485 of the family's 1533-position model. Lineage: Bacteria; Bacillati; Actinomycetota; Actinomycetes; Micrococcales; Micrococcaceae. The record is from RNAcentral.
GCAGAUAUCAGGAGGAACACCGAUGGCGAAGGCAGGUCUCUGGGCAUUAACUGACGCUGAGGAGCGAAAGCAUGGGGAGCGAACAGGAUUAGAUACCCUGGUAGUCCAUGCCGUAAACGUUGGGCACUAGGUGUGGGGGACAUUCCACGUUUUCCGCGCCGUAGCUAACGCAUUAAGUGCCCCGCCUGGGGAGUACGGCCGCAAGGCUAAAACUCAAAGGAAUUGACGGGGGCCCGCACAAGCGGCGGAGCAUGCGGAUUAAUUCGAUGCAACGCGAAGAACCUUACCAAGGCUUGACAUGGACUGGAAAUACCUGGAAACAGGUGCCCCGCUUGCGGUCGGUUCACAGGUGGUGCAUGGUUGUCGUCAGCUCGUGUCGUGAGAUGUUGGGUUAAGUCCCGCAACGAGCGCAACCCUCGUUCUAUGUUGCCAGCGCGUGAUGGCGGGGACUCAUAGGAGACUGCCGGGGUCAACUCGGAGGAAGGUGGGGACGACGUCAAAUCAUCAUGCCCCUUAUGUCUUGGGCUUCACGCAUGCUACAAUGGCCGGUACAAAGGGUUGCGAUACUGUGAGGUGGAGCUAAUCCCAAAAAGCCGGUCUCAGUUCGGAUUGGGGUCUGCAACUCGACCCCAUGAAGUCGGAGUCGCUAGUAAUCGCAGAUCAGCAACGCUGCGGUGAAUACGUUCCCGGGCCUUGUACACACCGCCCGUCAAGUCACGAAAGUUGGUAACACCCGAAGCCGGUGGCCUAACCCCUUGUGGGAGGGAGCUGUCGAAGGUGGGACUGGCGAUUGGACUAAG